CAAUAGCGUAUAUUAAAGUUGUUGCAGUUAAAAAGCUCGUAGUUGGAUUUGUGGCGUACGGUGGGUUCCGGGCACUUGUUGUCUGAGUAACUUGCUGUUGCCAUCCUUGGGUGGAACCUGUGUGGCAUUAGGUUGUCGUGCAGGGGAUGCCCAUCAUUUACUGUGAAAAAAUUAGAGUGUUCAAAGCAGGCUUAUGCCGUUGAAUAUAUUAGCAUGGAAUAAUGAGAUAGGACUUUUUUGCUAUUUUGUUGGUUUGCGCAAAGAGGUAAUGAUUAAUAGGGACAGUUGGGGGUAUUCGUAUUCCAUUGUCAGAGGUGAAAUUCUUGGAUUUUUGGAAGACGAACUACUGCGAAAGCAUUUACCAAGGAUGUCUUCAUUAA
Molecule: ribosomal RNA, 380 nt
Filed under: uncultured eukaryote
Lineage: Eukaryota
Description: partial 18S ribosomal RNA
Rfam family: Eukaryotic small subunit ribosomal RNA
Source: RNAcentral